Molecule: long non-coding RNA, 560 nt
Filed under: Pongo abelii (Sumatran orangutan)
Lineage: Eukaryota; Metazoa; Chordata; Mammalia; Primates; Hominidae
Description: lincRNA
Source: RNAcentral
CUAAAGUGCUGGGAUUACAGGUGUGAGCCACCUUGCUCAUUCUAGUUUAAACUUUUGAAUGGUUUGUGUCUCCUGAUUGGACUCCUACAAAUACAGAGUCGAUGCUAGGAAGGGUACCAGGAGAUAGACGCACACAGAUGGGAUUUGGGAGUAGGUUUGGUUAUCCAAGGAGCAGUGCUGAGCUCCUUGCUAAUGGGAUAUGGGAUGCUGGUGAUUUCCAGGAAGUGACUUCACAAUGACUCAAGCUACCAUAUACUGUUGAUUGUGAAAUGCCAGUUGAAGCAUAUGUCCUGUGAGCUUAGGGGUGCUACAGGUUGACCACUGCAGCAGUAAAGAUGACUCUGAAGAAUGGCAUGGGAUGGAUCCUUUCGAAUGCACUUGAGCAGCGGUCUCCAACCACAGGGCCACAGAGCUGGAGCUGGAUCUGCCAUGAACGACUUCUGAAUCCAGGAAGAGAGACUGACUGGGCAACAUGUUAUUCAGGUACAAAAAGAUUUGGACUGUAACUCAAAAAUGAUCAAAUGAUAGUGCAUGCAUCAAGUGCAAUGGGAAGCUCUUCU